CGGCGCGCGGUGCGCGCCCUUCCUAGCGCGCCGCCGGUAGCUGUUGGGGUCGGCGGCGGAGGCGGCCGGCACCGACCGCGCCGCGGCGGCGGCGAAGGCGAGGAUGUUGGCGGCGGCCUCCUGAUCCUCUUCCUUGUCGCCUCUAGCCACCCGGCGUCCUCCUCUCCUAGCGUGGCCGGCGGCCGGCGGCCGGAGCUCUGACCUUGCAGCCGAGGGAGCAGAAGCGGAAGGCGACGUCGAGGAGGCCGCGGCCGCACGCCUCGCAGGCGGCGCACGCCACGGCGGCGGCGGCGGCGCACCGGCCGUUGCGCGGCGCCUGCGGGCGCUCGUUGAGGAAGACGACCCUGUCGCGGUUGAUGACGUAGGUCUGCACCCGCGUCAGGUCCAGCGUGCGCUCCAGCUCCGACACGCGCACCACGUUGUGGUACGACGACCUCCGCACCUGGACCACCCGGUGGCGGUGGCCGCGAUCCCGCCCCGCGCCGCCGCCGUGCGCCGCCACCACGCACCACUGGCACCCCACGGCGGCCGCGCCGCCGGCGUCGUCGGCGGCCGCGGCGCAGGUGAGGCAGUACUGGUUGCACUCGUUCCUGCUCAUGCCGCGGUGCGCCGCGCACGCCUCGAAGAACCGCGCGCCGAGCAGCGACCGCAGCCACGCCGGCUCCCGCUCCGCCAACCCAGCAGCCAUCGCCGCGUCCGCCGCCGCCGCC
RNAcentral lists this small RNA (710 nucleotides) under Oryza sativa Japonica Group (Japanese rice). RNAcentral describes it as "sRNA Os02g0193425". Lineage: Eukaryota; Viridiplantae; Streptophyta; Magnoliopsida; Poales; Poaceae. The record is from RNAcentral.